RNAcentral lists this ribosomal RNA (497 nucleotides) under uncultured bacterium. RNAcentral describes it as "partial 16S ribosomal RNA". It matches the Rfam family "Bacterial small subunit ribosomal RNA", at positions 28 to 507 of the family's 1533-position model. The record is from RNAcentral.
GAUGAACGCUGGCGGCGUGCCUAAUACAUGCAAGUCGAGCGAACGGACGAGAAGCUUGCUUCUCUGAUGUUAGCGGCGGACGGGUGAGUAACACGUGGAUAACCUACCUAUAAGACUGGGAUAACUUCGGGAAACCGGAGCUAAUACCGGAUAAUAUUUUGAACCGCAUGGUUCAAAAGUGAAAGACGGUCUUGCUGUCACUUAUAGAUGGAUCCGCGCUGCAUUAGCUAGUUGGUAAGGUAACGGCUUACCAAGGCAACGAUGCAUAGCCGACCUGAGAGGGUGAUCGGCCACACUGGAACUGAGACACGGUCCAGACUCCUACGGGAGGCAGCAGUAGGGAAUCUUACGCAAUGGGCGAAAGCCUGACGGAGCAACGCCGCGUGAGUGAUGAAGGUCUUCGGAUCGUAAAACUCUGUUACUAGGGAAGAACAUAUGUGUAAGUAACUGUGCACAUCUUGACGGUACCUAAUCAGAAAGCCACGGCUAACUACGUG